This 842-nucleotide small RNA is filed under the name Pongo abelii (Sumatran orangutan). RNAcentral describes it as "processed transcript". Lineage: Eukaryota; Metazoa; Chordata; Mammalia; Primates; Hominidae. The record is from RNAcentral.
AUUGACGCCAUGAGCGCGCUGCUGCGGCUACUGCGCACGGGUGCCCCAGCCGCUGCGUGCCUGCGGUUGGGGACCAGUGCAGGGACCGGGUCGCGCCGUGCUAUGGCCCUGUACCACACUGAGGAGCGCGGCCAGCCCUGCUCGCAGAAUUACCGCCUCUUCUUUAAGAAUGUAACUGGUCACUACAUUUCCCCCUUUCAUGAUAUUCCUCUGAAGGUGAACUCUAAAGAGGAAAAUGGCAUUCCUAUGAAGAAAGCACGAAAUGAUGAAUAUGAGAAUCUGUUUAAUAUGAUUGUAGAAAUACCUCGGUGGACAAAUGCUAAAAUGGAGAUUGCCACCAAGGAGCCAAUGAAUCCCAUUAAACAAUAUGUAAAGGAUGGAAAGCUACGCUAUGUGGCAAAUAUCUUCCCUUACAAGGGUUAUAUAUGGAAUUAUGGUACCCUCCCUCAGACUUGGGAAGAUCCCCAUGAAAAAGAUAAGAGCACGAACUGCUUUGGAGAUAAUGAUCCUAUUGAUGUUUGCGAAAUAGGCUCAAAGAUUCUUUCUUGUGGCGAAGUUAUUCAUGUGAAGAUCCUUGGAAUUUUGGCUCUUAUUGAUGAAGGUGAAACAGAUUGGAAAUUAAUUGCUAUCAAUGUGAAUGAUCCUGAAGCCUCAAAGUUUCAUGGAUCCUCUUUCCUUGUAAACCUCAAUUCUAAACUGGAAGAUAUUACCAUUUCUAAGAUGACUGAACCUCAUUAACAAUAUAUUAAUCUUAGGUUAUGUACCUUUUCUUGCACUUGAAACCGGAAGAGAUUUCUUUUUUGUCAUUCUUGUAUAUAAUUGAGAAAGGAAGAGGUCUGAUA